GUGCACGCUGGCGGUAGGCCUAACACAUGCAAGUCGCACGGCAGCACAGUAAGAGCUUGCUCUUACGGGUGGCGAGUGGCGGACGGGUGAGGAAUACAUCGGAAUCUACUUUUUCGUGGGGGAUAACGUAGGGAAACUUACGCUAAUACCGCAUACGACCUACGGGUGAAAGCAGGGGAUCUUCGGACCUUGCGCGAUUGAAUGAGCCGAUGUCGGAUUAGCUAGUUGGCGGGGUAAAGGCCCACCAAGGCGACGAUCCGUAGCUGGUCUGAGAGGAUGAUCAGCCACACUGGAACUGAGACACGGUCCAGACUCCUACGGGAGGCAGCAGUGGGGAAUAUUGGACAAUGGGCGCAAGCCUGAUCCGGCCAUACCGCGUGGGUGAAGAAGGCCUUCGGGUUGUAAAGCCCUUUUGUUGGGAAAGAAAAGCAGCAGGUUAAUACCCCGCUGUUCUGACGGUACCCAAAGAAUAAGCACCGGCUAACUUCGUG
This 491-nucleotide ribosomal RNA is filed under the name uncultured bacterium. RNAcentral's name for it is "partial 16S ribosomal RNA". It matches the Rfam family "Bacterial small subunit ribosomal RNA", at positions 29 to 507 of the family's 1533-position model. The record is from RNAcentral.